RNAcentral lists this ribosomal RNA (1028 nucleotides) under uncultured organism. RNAcentral describes it as "bacterial SSU rRNA". It matches the Rfam family "Bacterial small subunit ribosomal RNA", at positions 355 to 1375 of the family's 1533-position model. The record is from RNAcentral.
UAGGGAAUCUUCGGCAAUGGGGGCAACCCUGACCGAGCAACGCCGCGUGAGUGAAGAAGGUUUUCGGAUCGUAAAGCUCUGUUGUAAGUCAAGAACGGGUGUGAGAGUGGAAAGUUCACACUGUGACGGUAGCUUACCAGAAAGGGACGGCUAACUACGUGCCAGCAGCCGCGGUAAUACGUAGGUCCCGAGCGUUGUCCGGAUUUAUUGGGCGUAAAGCGAGCGCAGGCGGUUUGAUAAGUCUGAAGUUAAAGGCUGUGGCUCAACCAUAGUUCGCUUUGGAAACUGUCAAACUUGAGUGCAGAAGGGGAGAGUGGAAUUCCAUGUGUAGCGGUGAAAUGCGUAGAUAUAUGGAGGAACACCGGUGGCGAAAGCGGCUCUCUGGUCUGUAACUGACGCUGAGGCUCGAAAGCGUGGGGAGCGAACAGGAUUAGAUACCCUGGUAGUCCACGCCGUAAACGAUGAGUGCUAGGUGUUGGAUCCUUUCCGGGAUUCAGUGCCGCAGCUAACGCAUUAAGCACUCCGCCUGGGGAGUACGACCGCAAGGUUGAAACUCAAAGGAAUUGACGGGGGCCCGCACAAGCGGUGGAGCAUGUGGUUUAAUUCGAAGCAACGCGAAGAACCUUACCAGGUCUUGACAUCCCGAUGCUAUUUCUAGAGAUAGAAAGUUACUUCGGUACAUCGGUGACAGGUGGUGCAUGGUUGUCGUCAGCUCGUGUCGUGAGAUGUUGGGUUAAGUCCCGCAACGAGCGCAACCCCUAUUUUCAGUAGCCAGCAUUUUGGAUGGGCACUCUGGAGAGACUGCCCGGGAUAACCGGGAGGAAGGUGGGGAUGACGUCAAAUCAUCAUGCCCCUUAUGAUCUGGGCUACACACGUGCUACAAUGGCUGUUACAGAGAGAAGCGAAUCCGCGAGGAAGAGCAAACCUCAAAAAGGCAGUCUCAGUUCGGAUUGUAGUCUGCAACUCGACUACAUGAAGCUGGAAUCGCUAGUAAUCGCGAAUCAGAAUGUCGCGGUGAAUACGUUCCU